This 94-nucleotide transfer RNA is filed under the name Holosporaceae bacterium. RNAcentral's name for it is "tRNA-Ser". It matches the Rfam family "tRNA". From Rfam's summary of the family: Transfer RNA (tRNA) molecules are approximately 80 nucleotides in length. Their secondary structure includes four short double-helical elements and three loops (D, anti-codon, and T loops). Lineage: Bacteria; Pseudomonadati; Pseudomonadota; Alphaproteobacteria; Holosporales; Holosporaceae. The record is from RNAcentral.
GGAGGGAUGGCCGAGUGGCUGAAGGCAGUGGUUUGCUAAACCGCCAUACGGUUGAAAAGCCGUAUCGAGGGUUCGAAUCCCUCUUCCUCCGCCA